CAAAGAACACCACGGGGCACGACGGCUUGACAUUUAAAACCAAUGGGACUGGCUGUCUGGAACUGGAUCUGUAUUCUUCACUCGGCAACAGGUGACGGGCUUCCCCGGAUGUCAUCUGUGUCGUUGGCCUCUGUUCAGAGGCAGCAUUCAGGACCCAGGGAGAGCUGGCUGGCAACAUGCCCGAUCUACAAGUGAGCUGUCCUAUCAUUGACAUCAAGCACAGAAAUGUGUUUUGUAUGAGCCCUGCAUGGCCUGGUAUUCAGGCUACAGUCCAUCUGGUGGACAGCACUGUAAGCUGCAGCGAUGGCGAGCUCUGAUCUCUGGAGCUGGUAAACAGACACCACAAUGGCAAGCUACUUGACUUGUUCUACUUGACUCCUGAACCAUUUUAAUAUCAGGCUGCCAUGGGUUUCCUUCCUGUAAGCCAGCGUCUUCAUAUUUCUGUUUCUGCUCUCCCAGAACGAGAGAUAAAAACUGAGCAUGCUGUUGGUGAAUUCUACCAGUGUAUUAAUAGAGGAAGUGACCGUGUUAAUGGCCCUUUUAAACACCAUGGAGAGUGUGCAGAGAGCACAAAUGUUGAGAAAAUAUUUUGGACUCAUUUGACUAUAAUUUUAUUUAGA
Notothenia coriiceps (black rockcod) is the source of this 620-nucleotide long non-coding RNA. RefSeq lists it as uncharacterized. The transcript has 4 exons. Lineage: Eukaryota; Metazoa; Chordata; Actinopteri; Perciformes; Nototheniidae. The record is from RefSeq and is a predicted model, not a curated record.